This 458-nucleotide ribosomal RNA is filed under the name uncultured bacterium. Its description in RNAcentral is "partial 16S ribosomal RNA". It matches the Rfam family "Bacterial small subunit ribosomal RNA", at positions 338 to 795 of the family's 1533-position model. The record is from RNAcentral.
CCUACGGGUGGCAGCAGUGAGGAAUAUUGGUCAAUGGGCGGGAGCCUGAACCAGCCAAGUCGCGUGAGGGAUGACGGCCCUAUGGGUUGUAAACCUCUUUUGCCGGGGAGCAAGUGCCGCACGUGUGCGGUUUGGAGAGUACCCGGAGAAAAAGCAUCGGCUAACUCCGUGCCAGCAGCCGCGGUAAUACGGAGGAUGCGAGCGUUAUCCGGAUUUAUUGGGUUUAAAGGGUGCGUAGGCGGACGCUUAAGUCAGCGGUAAAGUUGCGGGGCUCAACCUCGUCGAGCCGUUGAAACUGGGUGCCUUGAGUGGGCGAGAGGUACGCGGAAUUCGUGGUGUAGCGGUGAAAUGCUUAGAUAUGACGAAGAACCCCGAUUGCGAAGGCAGCUUGCUGCAGCGGAACUGACGCUGAUGCUCGAAAGCGCGGGUAUCGAACAGGAUUAGAUACCCCUGUAGUC